This 588-nucleotide ribosomal RNA is filed under the name uncultured bacterium. RNAcentral describes it as "bacterial SSU rRNA". The stretch from base 1 to 520 matches the Rfam family "Bacterial small subunit ribosomal RNA", at positions 338 to 873 of the family's 1533-position model. The record is from RNAcentral.
CCUACGGGAGGCAGCAGUGGGGAAUCUUGCGCAAUGGGCGAAAGCCUGACGCAGCAACGCCGCGUGCGGGAAGAAGGCUCUCGGGUUGUAAACCGCUUUCAGCAGGAACGAAAAUGACGGUACUUGCAGAAGAAGGUGCGGCCAACUACGUGCCAGCAGCCGCGGUGACACGUAGGCACCAAGCGUUGUCCGGAUUUAUUGGGCGUAAAGAGCUCGUAGGCGGUUCGGUAAGUCAGGUGUGAAAACUUUGGGCUCAACCCAAAGCCUGCAUCUGAUACUGCUGUGACUAGAGUUCGGUAGGGGAGCGGGGAAUUCCUAGUGUAGCGGUGAAAUGCGCAGAUAUUAGGAGGAACACCGGUGGCGAAGGCGCCGCUCUGGGCCGAAACUGACGCUGAGGAGCGAAAGCGUGGGUAGCAAACAGGAUUAGAUACCCUGGUAGUCCACGCCGUAAACGUUGGGCACUAGGUGUGGGUCUCAACCACGAGAUCCGCGCCGUCGCUAACGCAUUAAGUGCCCCGCCUGGGGAGACGGCGCGAGUAACGUACAAGAAUAGACGCGNGAGACGNGCGACGCGACGACGAGGAGAGG